CAAUAGUGUAUAUUAAAGUUGUUGCAGUUAAAAAGCUCGUAGUUGGAUUUCAAGAAACGCAUCUGGGAAACCAGUUUGCUUUCUACCAGUCUUUGACUGUUACUGUGAGAAAAUUAGAGUGUUUCAAGCAGGCAAUUGCAGGAAUACAUUAGCAUGGAAUAACGAAUGUGUCUACAAUUUGGUUGAUUGUAGAUUACGAUUAAUAGGGACAGUUGGGGGCAUUAGUAUUUAAUUGUCAGAGGUGAAAUUCUUGGAUUAGUUAAAGACUAACGUAUGCGAAAGCAUUUGCCAAGGAUGUUUUCAUUA
Molecule: ribosomal RNA, 306 nt
Filed under: uncultured eukaryote
Lineage: Eukaryota
Description: partial 18S ribosomal RNA
Rfam family: Eukaryotic small subunit ribosomal RNA
Source: RNAcentral